This 76-nucleotide transfer RNA is filed under the name Candidatus Doudnabacteria bacterium CG10_big_fil_rev_8_21_14_0_10_41_10. RNAcentral describes it as "tRNA-Met". It matches the Rfam family "tRNA". From Rfam's summary of the family: Transfer RNA (tRNA) molecules are approximately 80 nucleotides in length. Lineage: Bacteria; Candidatus Doudnaibacteriota. The record is from RNAcentral.
UGCGGCGUAGAGCAAUUGGCAGCUCGUCAGGCUCAUAACCUGAAGGUUGGGGGUUCGAGUCCCCCCGCCGCAACCA